AAUUGGCCUUUGCCCGCCCCUCCUGCCGGGCCUAGGAUACCCCCAUGGCCUUGGGCUUCCCUGGGCUUGGUGGAGGAGGCAGCUGCGGGCGGCAGGAGGGAGGCAGGUACUCUUUCCCCAGGGCCCACGCAGGGCUGGCACAGGCUGGCUGGGCCUCGCCCUCCCUCUCUGCAGGCUCCAGGCACUGCCCCCACCCCGUCACUCCUUUACAACUGUUCUUUCUGUUCCCCACAGCGUCCCUGGUGGACGCACCCUCGGAACAACCUUGCACAGAGCCCAGGGCCGGGCCGGGCCGUUGCACACUCGCCCUGGGAGACAGCAGCUUCACUGAGACCACAAUUAUUCUCUGGUUCCAAGGAGGAAACUGAGGCUCCAAGAGACAAAGCCACUUGCUCAAGGUGACAUCCAGCAAAAGGCUGAGCCUGGUCUGGAGCCAGGGCCACAGGGCCACCCUCCACUCUGGCCACGAGGCCCCCAGAAGGCCGCAGACACUCCUUGUGUACAGGACCACGCUCCACCCUGGCCGUGAUGCCCUCUUGGGCCGUGGACACUCCUUCUAUACUUCGGGGUCCUGUAUGGCCCUGGAGGGUGGCAAGGGCUUGGGAAUUCUUUAGCUCUGUUGCUGGGGAAUGUUCAGAUUCCAGGCAAGAAGAUGACACGACUGCCUCUGUGAGCCGCCCACCCUGACCCACCAGGCCUGUGCUGGCCCCACCUGCUCCUUCUCCAAUCUGCUGAGGGCUUGCUGCUGCUUCUCAACCAGCGCGGCCAGCACAGCUCUGUCCCUCUUGCUGUCCAGGCACCUGGGGGGAGGUGGCAACAUCACUGCCAAUGUUGACAGCCCGUGCAAGUGGAUAUAGAAAGUCACAGACACAGCCAGCCCUGGUCGGCCACAUCAACCUGGAAUGCCCUCCCAAGGUGCAGGCACCAGGGAGGACGCAGCCAUGCGUGGACAGGCUUGGAAGCCUUGGGGUGGCCAGAUGGCCCAACCCGGGCUGUCACUCUUCCACCCCUCACAGCCACUUUUGGACUUUUGGGUCUAAAGAGACAAAGGCUAGCCGAGAGCCGCCCCUGCCACCCUGAAGGCCCAGCCCAGGCCAGUGGGUCCUCUGGGGAGGGAGGUGGGGGUCACCCACAUCCACCCCCCACCCAUCAUGGAAUAAACACCCUCAGUCUGGCCCGCUCAGACACCGGGUGAGGAUGUUAACUGGAAUCACCUUUCUGGAGACCAAUGUGGCAGUAUCAAGCGGCUUCCAGAUGCAUUCUCACUGACCCGGUCAUUCCAUUUCUAAGGUUUUACCUUAAGGAAAUGAUCUCUCUAUCUUCAUUAAUAAUGGCAAAACGUUGGAGACAACCUAGAGGCCCGGAGAUCCGGGACAAGCGAAGGGAGUUACAGCCCUGUCUCUACGCCGGUGCGCCCUGUGUGUUAUAGCGGUUAUGUAGCUACACAGAAAGGUUUUCCUGACAUAUAAAUUGAAAACGCAAGUUACAAAACAGCACGUACUGCCCAUUUGCAAGUUGAAAUAGCCAUGUGUGUUUCUCCCCAAAACAGAGUAUCCGCACUGGGCGUGGUGGCUCUCGCCUGUAAUCCCAGCACUUUGAGAGGCCGUGGCUGGCGGAUCAACUGAGGUAGGGAGUUCGAGACCAGCCUGACCAACAUGGAGAAACCCCAUCUCUACUAAAAAUACAAAAUUAGCUGGGCGUGGUGGCGCACACCUGUAGUCCCAGCUACUCGGGAGACUGAGGCAGGAGAAUCCCUUGAACCUGGGAGGCGGAGGUUGCAGUGAGCCUAGAUCGCGCCACGCGCCUCUACACUCCAGCCUGAGCAACAAGAGCGAAACUCUGUCUCAAAACAAAACAAAACAAAACAAAAAAACAAAGUAUGCACAAAGAUGAUCUCAGAGGUCACCUUUGGAACGAUGGGGGUAUUUUUUUAUUUGUGUAUUGAGUACUUUACUGCCUUAUGUAAGUUUCAGCAAACACCUAUUACUGUUUGG
This is a long non-coding RNA of Homo sapiens (human), 1994 nucleotides long. The record is from Ensembl. Lineage: Eukaryota; Metazoa; Chordata; Mammalia; Primates; Hominidae.